RNAcentral lists this ribosomal RNA (209 nucleotides) under uncultured bacterium. RNAcentral's name for it is "partial 16S ribosomal RNA". It matches the Rfam family "Bacterial small subunit ribosomal RNA", at positions 568 to 776 of the family's 1533-position model. The record is from RNAcentral.
CACGUAGGCGGACUAUUAAGUCAGGGGUGAAAUCCCGGGGCUCAACCCCGGAACUGCCUUUGAUACUGCUAGUCUCGAGUCCGGAAGAGGUGAGUGGAAUUCCGAGUGUAGAGGUGAAAUUCGUAGAUAUUCGGAGGAACACCAGUGGCGAAGGCGGCUCACUGGUCCGGUACUGACGCUGAGGUGCGAAAGCGUGGGGAGGCAAAACA